CGGGCGGGCCCGGAUUUGCCGCCGCGCUUGGGAAGCCGCCACCGCCGCCGCUGCUGCAUGGCACUAGGCUCCCGGCGGGGCAGGUUCCGCAGCCGGCACCGCUCUGGCUAGGCGCACGGAGGCGCCUUGCUUAGUCUGACCCUUAUUUGGCCAGGCGUAAAACUUGUCCUGCCUAAAAGCCUACUGAGACCUCCUAACUGGUCUAAUCCGCGGGAGACGCCAAAGGCGGCGGCCGUUUGUGCGCACAGGAUUUUUCUUGGAGCUGUAGCAGUCUAGGAAGCCAGGGUGGAACUUUUGCUAAGCUCCCGUUGUAAGCCCAGAGCUGUAAUAACUGCUGAGACACAACCAGCAGUAUACAGGCUCCAGUUGGAAAUCGAGAACUUUCCAGGGCUGUCACCCAGGCUGGAGUGCAGUGGUGCCAUCACAGCUCACUGCAGCCUCGACCUCCUAGGCUAAAGUGAUCCUCCCAACUCAGCCUCCCGUAGCUGGGACUACAGGAAUGUGCCACGCCCAGGUCUAUCCAGCUGAAGUCAAAAAUGCCCCUCUCAGGCUGCCCCCAGUGACUCCAGUUUCCUAGCAGAGCCUAACCAGAGGAGGACAUACAAAGGAGUCCUGGCUAAUGAGAGAUAAGCAUGUGCCUGCUGUGGAGCUUCUUGGAAAGUUUCAACUGGUAAAAGGGGAAGAAUUGAACACAGAAGUGAUGGCAAGAG
This 710-nucleotide long non-coding RNA is filed under the name Homo sapiens (human). RNAcentral describes it as "HSALNT0040445". The record is from RNAcentral. Lineage: Eukaryota; Metazoa; Chordata; Mammalia; Primates; Hominidae.